Molecule: ribosomal RNA, 311 nt
Filed under: uncultured bacterium
Lineage: Bacteria
Description: bacterial SSU rRNA
Rfam family: Bacterial small subunit ribosomal RNA
Source: RNAcentral
AGCGAACGCUGGCGGUAUGCUUAACACAUGCAAGUCGAGCGCGAAAGUGACUUCGGUCAUAAGUAGAGCGGCGGACGGGUGAGUAACACGUGGAUAAUCUGCCUUUAGGACUGGGAUAACCCUGGGAAACUAGGGCUAAUACCGGAUAAGACCACAGGUUCCAUGGAACCAGGGGUAAAAGGCGGCCUUCGGGCUGUCGCCGAAAGAUGAGUCCGCGUCCCAUCAGGUGGUUGGUGAGGUAACGGCUCACCAAGCCGAAGACGGGUAGCCGACCUUAGCGGGUGAUCGGCCACACGGGGGACUGAGACACC